CAGGAGGGGCUUGCCCGGGCUGGGCGGACCGUGCCGGGGAGAGGACUCGGAGGUUGCAGCGGGAGUCGACGCGGGACCCGUCAGGCGGCGCCGGGGCCGGGAGCGCUGCCUGCCGCAGUCAUGGAGCCGAGCGCGGACCUGGCCUUGCUGAUUGCUGUGGUUGUCAUUGCCCUGUCAGCCUUGCUGUUAGUUUUCAAGGCUAGGAGAUCCCAGAGGAAGAGUGAUCCCAUUACAUUACAGGAGCCACACACUAAGUAUCCGUUGCCAUUGAUAAAGAAAGAGGAGAUCAGCCACGAUACCAGGAAAUUCAGGUUUGGGCUUCCGUCGCCGGAUCAUGUAUUAGGGCUACCUAUAGGCCAGCAUGUUUACCUCUCUUCCAAAAUCAAUGGUAAUCUUGUCAUCCGGGCCUACACUCCAGUUUCCAGUGAUGAAGUAAAAGGUUAUGUUGACUUAAUUAUAAAGGUCUACUACAAAAAUGUCCAUCCCAAAUUCCCUGAAGGUGGGAAGAUGUCCCAGUACUUAGACAGCAUGACUGUUGGGGAUACCAUUGACUUCAGAGGGCCAAACGGGCUCCUUGUAUACAAGGGGACAGGUAACUUUGCUAUCAAGCCUGACAAGAAGUCUGAAGCACAGAGAAAGUUUGUAAAGCAUCUUGGGAUGAUAGCUGGAGGAACAGGAAUAACUCCGAUGUUGCAGCUGAUCCGUCACAUCACAAAGGAUCCUAAUGAUGAUACAAAGUGUUACCUCCUUUUUGCUAAUCAGACUGAAAAAGACAUAUUACUGAGAGCUGAGCUGGAAGAGGUAGCCAAGAAUCACCCUGAUCAAUUUAAGGUGCAGUAUACAUUGGACAGACCUCCUCAUGACUGGAAGUAUAGCUCUGGCUUCAUUACUGCAGACAUGAUUAAAGCAUACCUCCCUCCUCCAGACAGAGAUACUCUUAUUCUGAUGUGUGGGCCUCCACCUAUGAUUCAGUUUGCGUGUCAGCCCAAUCUGGAAAAACUUGGUUAUCUCAAAGAUAACACAUUCGCUUAUUAACACUGAUGCAAUGCAGUAAUAAUCCGUUGUGCUACAGCACUUUUAGAACAAUUGCUUAGAUUUCUGCUGUACAAAGAGGAUUUGAUUGACAGUCACUGAAAACUGCAUUGCUGCCUUAAGUUGGACUGAACUUCAAUAUAAGUAUCUACUGUUGUUUAUAUGUACUUACGAAAUACAGUUCUCUCCAUGAAGUACAUGUGCUCUGAGCAGUUUCAGAAGUUUGUCUCACCCAAAAGAAAGUGGUACUUCCACACAUAAGGAGAAUUAUUUAAUCUGGCUUCUCUCGGGGACAGUCUGAGCUAAUGCAAGUUGUCAUAGCUCUACGGAAGUCACUGGAGCGAUGAUAAUUUACACCAGCAGAGGAUCUGCCCCUAUCUGGCUCUCGUGCACUACAGAAGCUCUCACAACGUCCAACAGCUCCCUUUUUCAGGGUUUGAAGUACUUUACACAGACUUUGUCAGGAAGGAGGCUGGAUAGAGUUUUUAUGGAAACCUACUGUUUGUGUGUGAUGUGUAAACUAAAUUCCAUUACAGAGAGAAAGUGAUCACUACAUAUGUAACAAAAUGGAAGUAUUCUUUUAUUGUCUAAUUGAUAAUGUUCAUGUGUUUAUAUGCUUAAGCAUAAUUAUUUCAUAAAGUAUGUAAUACAUUUACAUGGUGCAAAUGAUGCACUCUUCAGUUUAACGUCUUAAAAUAUACAAUCCAGUUGUA
Caretta caretta (loggerhead turtle) is the source of this 1745-nucleotide non-coding RNA. NCBI's taxonomy places the organism in Eukaryota, Metazoa, Chordata, Testudines, Cheloniidae. The record is from RefSeq and is a predicted model, not a curated record.